UACAGAGGGUGCGAGCGUUAAUCGGAAUUACUGGGCGUAAAGCGCACGUAGGUGGUUUGGUAAGUCGGAUGUGAAAUCCCCGGGCUUAACCUGGGAAUGGCAUUCGAUACUGUCAAACUAGAGUCUGGUAGAGGGUGGUGGAAUUCCAGGUGUAGCGGUGAAAUGCGUAGAUAUCUGGAGGAACAUCAGUGGCGAAGGCGGCCACCUGGACUGAGACUGACACUGAGGUGCGAAAGCGUGGGUAGCAAACAGG
RNAcentral lists this ribosomal RNA (253 nucleotides) under uncultured bacterium. Its description in RNAcentral is "partial 16S ribosomal RNA". It matches the Rfam family "Bacterial small subunit ribosomal RNA", at positions 524 to 776 of the family's 1533-position model. The record is from RNAcentral.